GAUGAACGCUGGCGGCGUGCCUAACACAUGCAAGUCGAACGGCAAGACACUGAGAUUUUGCUCUUACCGUUUGCGGGUGGCGGGCGGGUCACGCGUGCAUCACAAUCUUCUCUUUCGGGGAUCAUUACGUAACGAAGGUUACUCUAAUACCGCAUAUGUUGCACCGGUGAGUGCAUUGGAUAUUCUCGGCUUUUGCGAAUGAAAUAGCCGGUUUCGGGCUAGCUAGUUGGGUGGGUAAAGUCCCAGCAAGGCGACGAUCCGUAGCUUGACUGAGAGGAUGAUCGGCCACACUGGAACUGAGACACGGUCAAGACUCCUACGGGAGGCAGCAGUAGGGAAUAUUGGGCAAUGGGCGAAAGCCUGACCCAGCGAUACCGCGUGGGUGAUGAAGGCCUUCGGUUCGUAAAGCCCUCUUAUUGGGAAAGAACAGCUGCCGAUUGAAACAAAGCUGUCGUGACGGUAACGAAUCAAAAAGCACCGGCUAACUACGUG
This 492-nucleotide ribosomal RNA is filed under the name uncultured bacterium. RNAcentral describes it as "partial 16S ribosomal RNA". It matches the Rfam family "Bacterial small subunit ribosomal RNA", at positions 28 to 507 of the family's 1533-position model. The record is from RNAcentral.